AAACUAACAGAUUUACUUCGGUAAUGACGUUAGGAAAGCGAGCGGCGGAUGGGUGAGUAACACGUGGGGAACCUGCCCCAUAGUCUGGGAUACCACUUGGAAACAGGUGCUAAUACCGGAUAAGAAAGCAGAUCGCAUGAUCAGCUUUUAAAAGGCGGCGUAAGCUGUCGCUAUGGGAUGGCCCCGCGGUGCAUUAGCUAGUUGGUAAGGUAAAGGCUUACCAAGGCGAUGAUGCAUAGCCGAGUUGAGAGACUGAUCGGCCACAUUGGGACUGAGACACGGCCCAAACUCCUACGGGAGGCAGCAGUAGGGAAUCUUCCACAAUGGACGCAAGUCUGAUGGAGCAACGCCGCGUGAGUGAAGAAGGUGUUUCGGAUCGUAAAGCUCUGUUGUUGGUGAA
Molecule: ribosomal RNA, 400 nt
Filed under: uncultured Lactobacillus sp.
Lineage: Bacteria; Bacillati; Bacillota; Bacilli; Lactobacillales; Lactobacillaceae
Description: bacterial SSU rRNA
Rfam family: Bacterial small subunit ribosomal RNA
Source: RNAcentral